RNAcentral lists this small RNA (541 nucleotides) under Pan troglodytes (chimpanzee). Its description in RNAcentral is "retained intron". Lineage: Eukaryota; Metazoa; Chordata; Mammalia; Primates; Hominidae. The record is from RNAcentral.
GUGAUGACACAGACCUGCAGAUCUUCUGUGUUUCCUGUGGGCACCCCAUCAACCCACGUGUUGCCUUGCGCCACAUGGAGCGCUGCUACGCCAAGGUUGGGGUGUCAGACUGAGGGGGCGGACCAUGUGGGAACAUCAGUGGGCCAGUGGGGGACAGAUUUGUUGUCUGGGUGGUGUCUUGGGAGGGCAUGCAGCGCACAUCCACAGUUCCCUCCAUUUGUGCUCAUCCCUCCAGUAUGAGAGCCAGACGUCCUUUGGGUCCAUGUACCCCACACGCAUUGAAGGGGCCACACGACUCUUCUGUGAUGUGUAUAAUCCUCAGAGCAAAACAUACUGUAAGCGGCUCCAGGUGCUGUGCCCCGAGCACUCACGGGACCCCAAAGUAAGGUUUUCCCUCAGCUCCUCCCAUUUUGCCCCUCCUCCCUGCCUCGCUGUCCCACAUUCAUCCCUUCCUUCCUCACCUCACUUUUCCUUCACUUUUUCCUCUCAGCUUCCCUGCUGCUUCACCCUCCAUUCCUCCUUUUCCUUGCCUCCUCACCGU